This 463-nucleotide ribosomal RNA is filed under the name Capnocytophaga granulosa. RNAcentral's name for it is "bacterial SSU rRNA". It matches the Rfam family "Bacterial small subunit ribosomal RNA", at positions 28 to 495 of the family's 1533-position model. The record is from RNAcentral. Lineage: Bacteria; Pseudomonadati; Bacteroidota; Flavobacteriia; Flavobacteriales; Flavobacteriaceae.
GAUGAACGCUAGCGGCAGGCCUAACACAUGCAAGUCGAGGGAGAAGCCCUUCGGGGCGGAAACCGGCGCACGGGUGCGUAACGCGUAUGCAACCUACCUUUCACAGGGGGAUAGCCCGAAGAAAUUUGGAUUAAUACCCCAUAAUAUUAUUGGGUGGCAUCAUCUGAUAAUUAAAAUUACGAUGGUGGAAGAUGGGCAUGCGUCCUAUUAGCUAGUUGGAGUGGUAACGGCACCCCAAGGCUACGAUAGGUAGGGGUCCUGAGAGGGAGAUCCCCCACACUGGUACUGAGACAGGGACCAGACUCCUACGGGAGGCAGCAGUAAGGAAUAUUGGUCAAUGGUCGGAAGACUGAACCAGCCAUGCCGCGUGCAGGAAGAAUGCCUUAUGGGUUGUAAACUGCUUUUAUAUGGGAAGAAUAAGGAGCACGUGUGCUUUGAUGACGUACCAUAUGAUAAGCUCGCA